UAAAAAUAAAAAAAAAAAAAAAUAGAAAAAAUAUUUAUAUAUAUAAUAUAUAUAUAAUUAGAAUAUAUAAAUAUGUAGAAUAUAGAAAUAUGAAUAUGUUUCUAUUUAAAUAGUCUAUUUAAUAGUUAUUAACAAUAUAUAAACAAUAUAAAAUAACCAUAUAUUCUAGUUAGUUAUUAUAGAUUUUUAACUAUAUAAUUUAACUAAUAUAAUUAUAUUAUAUUAUAUAGUUAUAGUUUGUUCCAGCUAAAUUAUAGUUUGUUCUAGCUAAAUAGACUAUAAUAUCUCCAUAUUAAUAGAUUCUAUAUUAAUAGAAUAAAUUCAAAUUAAUAAAAAAAAAAUAUAUAAUAAUGUAAUAAAAUGUACUAAGAGAAAUGCAAUUGUAAUAAGAAAAUUAGAAAAUUUCUAAUUUUCUAAUUAAUAAUAAUAAUAAUAAAUAAUAAAUUAUAAUAAAAAUAAUUAUAGUUAUAAUAAGAAAUAAUUAUAGAUAAAUAAUUAUAGAAUAAUAAUAAAUUAAAUAAUAAUAAAAUA
This 531-nucleotide unclassified non-coding RNA is filed under the name Hevea brasiliensis (rubber tree). Lineage: Eukaryota; Viridiplantae; Streptophyta; Magnoliopsida; Malpighiales; Euphorbiaceae. The record is from RNAcentral.